RNAcentral lists this ribosomal RNA (354 nucleotides) under Triticum aestivum (bread wheat). Its description in RNAcentral is "partial small subunit ribosomal RNA". The record is from RNAcentral. Lineage: Eukaryota; Viridiplantae; Streptophyta; Magnoliopsida; Poales; Poaceae.
AUGGAUGCCCCAUGUGAGACCUAUGGUUCGGUGAGAUGCCAAAGGGAUAAGAAGUUCUUCAUAGAUCUGCCGAACGACUUCCUCACUAGGAUGUGCACCCUCAUGAAGAUGCCGACGACCCAAAAAUUCAAUUGUCUUGUCACCAACGAUGCAAACCACACCUACUUCGGUUGCCCUGGUUGGAAAGCCCUUGCAGAUGCUUACGAGAUGGAAGAUGGGGAGAGAGCCACGUUCUACCUCAACUACGAUCGUGACGAGAUCAUGGUCUACAACAAGCCUGCUGACAGCGAUGAUGGUGCACUUACUCCGGACUAUGACCCUGACUCCGCCCGCCGAAAAGUCGUAGUAAGCUAG